UUAGGCUAAGCAUUACUAUCAUCACUUAUCAUCAGACAAUGCAUUACUUUCAAUCUGUUUUCAGUUCAUGAGCUUCAAACAAUAUCAUUUCACAUUUAGCAAACUCAUUACUUAACAGGAGCAAGCAUUUUACUCUUUAAACACUAAACAAGCCUUUAAAGCAUCCUGGGACAGAUUCAACUAAUUAUAUUUAGCAAUCACACAUUAUCCUCAGGGUUUUCAAUCAUUACACACCACAAUAACCAGGCACAGUCACAACACAAGCUCAAUAUCAAGAAGGUUUUAAAGAAUCGCUUACACAAGGAACCAGGUUGGUUCCUUAAGCCUCCAAAGGCAAUCUGGCCAUGAUAUGGUUGGAUUCAAGAGUCUAGGUCGUCACCCAACUCCUUCUCCUUCAGUCCAUGGCCUCCUUCUUGUUUCUCACACCCAAAGACCCCUCCUUUCUUCAUACUUCAAACCGGCUUCUCUUAGCUUCAUCUUUCUUGUAUCCGGAUGUGAUAAGCUCUUGGACAAGGAGCUUUGGCUUGAGGUUCAUGACGCCUCUCCAUC
RNAcentral lists this long non-coding RNA (549 nucleotides) under Brassica rapa (field mustard). RNAcentral's name for it is "long non-coding RNA (BRAP_LNC008293)". The record is from RNAcentral. Lineage: Eukaryota; Viridiplantae; Streptophyta; Magnoliopsida; Brassicales; Brassicaceae.